UAGAGCGGCGGACGGGUGAGUAACACGUGGACAAUCUCGCCCCCCGGGCCCGGGAUAGCCCAGGGAAACCUGGAUUAAUACCGGAUGAGACGGGACCCGCGAUGGCGGGAUCCGGGAAAGGCGCUGCGGCGCCGGCCGGGGGAUGAGUCUGCGCCCAUUAGCUAGACGGCGGGGUAACGGCCCACCGUGGCGACGAUGGGUAGCCGGCCUGAGAGGGUGGACGGCCACAUUGGAACUGAGACACGGUCCAGACUCCUACGGGAGGCAGCAGCUAAGAAUCUUCCGCAAUGGGCGAAAGCCUGACGGAGCGAACCGCCGCGUGAACGAAGAAGGCCGUGAGGUUGUAAAGUUCUUUUCGGGAGGGGGAACAACCGUGGCAGGGAAUGGCCGCGGGAUGACGUGAAUCCCGGAAUAAGCCCCGGCUAACUACGUGCCAGCCGCGGC
This 444-nucleotide ribosomal RNA is filed under the name uncultured bacterium. RNAcentral's name for it is "bacterial SSU rRNA". It matches the Rfam family "Bacterial small subunit ribosomal RNA", at positions 91 to 518 of the family's 1533-position model. The record is from RNAcentral.